Small nuclear RNA from Manis pentadactyla (Chinese pangolin), 107 nucleotides. The record is from RefSeq and is a predicted model, not a curated record. Lineage: Eukaryota; Metazoa; Chordata; Mammalia; Pholidota; Manidae.
GUGCUUGUUUUGGCAGCGCAUAUAUGAAGAUUGGAACGAUAUAGAGAAGAUGAUCGUGGCCCCUAUGCAAGGAUGACAUGCAAAUGCGUGAAGUGUUCCAUAUUUAA